UUCCGGUUGAUCCUGCCGGACCUGACUGCUAUCGGAUUGAUACUAAGCCAUGCGAGUCUUUGUAGUAAUACAAGGCAGACGGCUCAGUAACACGCAGUCAACCUACCCUAUGGACAAGAAUAAUCUCGGGAAACUGGGCAUAAUUCUUGAUAGAUCAUAAUGCCUGGAAUGGUUUAUGGUUAAAAUGAUUCGUCGCCAUAGGAUGGGACUGCGGCCUAUCAGCUUGUUGGUGAGGUAAUGGCCCACCAAGGCGAUUACAGGUACGGGCUCUGAGAGGAGAAGCCCGGAGAUGGGUACUGAGACACGGACCCAGGCCCUAUGGGGCGCAGCAGGCGAGAAAACUUUGCAAUGUGCGAAAGCACGACAAGGUUAAUCCGAGUGAUUUCUGCUAAAGAAAUCUUUUGCCAGUCAUAAAACCACUGGUGAAUAAGGGGUGGGCAAGUUCUGGUGUCAGCCGCCGCGGUAAAACCAGCACCUCAAGUGGUCAGGAUGAUUAUUGGGCCUAAAGCAUCCGUAGCCGGCUUUGUUAGUUUUCGGUUAAAUCCAUGUGCUCAACGCAUGGGCUGCCGAAAAUACUGCAUGGCUAGGGAGUGGGAGAGGUAGACGGUACUCAGUAGGAAGGGGUAAAAUCCUUUGAUCUAUUGAUGACCACCUGUGGCGAAGGCGGUCUACCAGAACACGUUCGACGGUGAGGGAUGAAAGCUGGGGGAGCAAACCGGAUUAGAUACCCGGGUAGUCCCAGCUGUAAACGAUGCAGACUCGAUGAUGCAUUGGCAUAAUAGCCAGUGCAGUGUCGCAGGGAAGCCGUUAAGUCUGCCGCCUGGGAAGUACGUACGCAAGUAUGAAACUUAAAGGAAUUGGCGGGGGAGCACCACAAGGGGUGAAGCCUGCGGUUCAAUUGGAGUCAACGCCGGAA
RNAcentral lists this ribosomal RNA (916 nucleotides) under uncultured archaeon. RNAcentral describes it as "SSU rRNA". It matches the Rfam family "Archaeal small subunit ribosomal RNA", at positions 1 to 923 of the family's 1478-position model. The record is from RNAcentral.